This 460-nucleotide ribosomal RNA is filed under the name uncultured bacterium. Its description in RNAcentral is "partial 16S ribosomal RNA". It matches the Rfam family "Bacterial small subunit ribosomal RNA", at positions 338 to 795 of the family's 1533-position model. The record is from RNAcentral.
CCUACGGGUGGCAGCAGUGAGGAAUAUUGGUCAAUGGGCGCGAGCCUGAACCAGCCAAGUCGCGUGAGGGAUGAAGGUUCUAUGGAUCGUAAACCUCUUUUAUAAGGGAAUAAAGUGUGGGACGUGUCCCAGUUUGUAUGUACCUUAUGAAUAAGGAUCGGCUAACUCCGUGCCAGCAGCCGCGGUAAUACGGAGGAUGCGAGCGUUAUCCGGAUUUAUUGGGUUUAAAGGGUGCGUAGGCGGCCUGUUAAGUCAGCGGUGAAAGUCUGUGGCUCAACCAUAGAAUUGCCGUUGAAACUGGGGGGCUUGAGUAUGUGUGAGGCAGGGGGAAUGCGUGGUGUAGCGGUGAAAUGCUGAGAUAUCACGCAGAACCCCGAUUGCGAAGGCAGCCUGCCAAGCCAUGACUGACGCUGAUGCACGAAAGCGUGGGGAUCAAACAGGAUUAGAUACCCGUGUAGUC